RNAcentral lists this ribosomal RNA (549 nucleotides) under Retama raetam. RNAcentral's name for it is "SSU rRNA". It matches the Rfam family "Eukaryotic small subunit ribosomal RNA", at positions 548 to 1098 of the family's 1831-position model. Lineage: Eukaryota; Viridiplantae; Streptophyta; Magnoliopsida; Fabales; Fabaceae. The record is from RNAcentral. RNAcentral also lists the same sequence under 1 other name.
UUGGAGGGCAAGUCUGGUGCCAACAGCCGCGGUAAUUCCAGCUCCAAUAGCGUAUAUUAAAGUUGUUGCAGUUAAAAAGCUCGUAGUUGAAUUUCGGGGUCAGUAGGUUGGUCAUGCCACUGGUAUGUACUGGUCUCACUGAUUCCUCCUUCCUGAUGAGCCGUAAUGCCAUUAAUUUGGUGUUGCGAGGAAUCUGGACUGUUACUUUGAAAAAAUUAGAGUGUUUAAAGCAGGCUAACGCUUGAAUACAUUAGCAUGGAAUAAUGAAAUAGGACGUUCGAUCUUAUUUUGUUGGUUUCUAAGAUUGACGUAAUGAUUAAUAGGGAUAGUUGGGGGCAUUAGUAUUCAAUUGUCAGAGGUGAAAUUCUUGGAUUUAUUGAAGACUAACUACUGCGAAAGCAUUUGCCAAGGAUGUUUUCAUUAAUCAAGAACGAAAGUUAGGGGAUCGAAGACGAUCAGAUACCGUCGUAGUCUUAACCAUAAACUAUGCCGACUAGGGAUCGGAUGAUGUUAAUUUUUUAAUGACUCAUUCGGCGCCUUACGGGAAAC